Poeciliopsis prolifica (blackstripe livebearer) is the source of this 780-nucleotide long non-coding RNA. RefSeq lists it as uncharacterized. NCBI's taxonomy places the organism in Eukaryota, Metazoa, Chordata, Actinopteri, Cyprinodontiformes, Poeciliidae. The record is from RefSeq and is a predicted model, not a curated record. The transcript is spliced from 3 exons.
AUAUUGGGCCUAAAAGGUUUUUUGUAAAUAGGAUGAAGGCAUUGUAGUUCAUAUUUUUAAAUUCUUUUUUUAAUUGUUGUGUGACACUUUAAAGCGUUUUGUUAUGUCAGAGUUUAUUUCAAUCUGCCGCUAUUGUGUUGGUCUAGAGUAGUCAUCAGUGUCAGGGUUCCUGUGUGUGUAUGUGAGUGCGAGUGUCGCAUCUUAUUUCAGCGAGGAUCUUUGUGAGGAGCCCAUGGAGCUUGGCACAGGUGGAGGAGCAGCAGAAUCUUCAGUCUACGCUAGAUUGACUGAAGAUUCUACUGGUGUAUGCUAGAUGGUUGCAUACACCGGUAGUCACUCUGGCCUCUCCUGUUGUGAACAGUUUUCUGAGAACGUUUCUGUGUCUACUAGAAGUCACCUGGUCUCUGUGUUUGUUCGAUCCUAGGGGUUUUGUCGCCUCAUUCGAGAACUCACCAGUGAAUACCUGCCUGCUCGCUCCGCCGAUUCCACUGCCUCCACUCCACCCUUCGAGUUUCCAGCUCUCUUCCAUUCCCACCUCGCAUUUACCUUCGGAACCGCUGCACACCCUCUCUCAGGAACCUGGCAUCUCACACCCACGCCUCGAAAGACCCGCACCGAAGCUUCAAGAGGAUCAGCGUGUGAAGAUCACUUUAUAAUGAUUUGAAAAAGGUUGCCAUGGCUACAGAAAUUGGAGGAGCAUCCUUAGAUGACACAAUACAACCAGCUGUGCGAUUCCUCAUGUCCCAUGAACUGGAAGUCCAGUUCAACCUUUUUGGCCAA